GUACGCUAUUCAGAGUUUGAUCCUGGCUCAGGAUGAACGCUAGCUACAGGCUUAACACAUGCAAGUCGCGGGGUCUGUUUCGGCAGACGACCGGCGCACGGGUGAGUAACGCGUAUCCAACCUGCCCUUCUCUUUGGCAUAGCCUUUCGAAAGAGAGAUUAAUUCCGAAUAACAUAGUAACAUUGCCUGAUCUUACUAUGAAAGCUCCGGCGGAGAAGGAUGGGGAUGCGUUCCAUUAGGUAGUAGGCGGGGUAACAGCCCACCUAGCCGACGAUGGAUAGGGGUUCUGAGAGGAAGGUCCCCCACAUUGGAACUGAGACACGGUCCAA
RNAcentral lists this ribosomal RNA (329 nucleotides) under uncultured bacterium. Its description in RNAcentral is "bacterial SSU rRNA". It matches the Rfam family "Bacterial small subunit ribosomal RNA", at positions 1 to 334 of the family's 1533-position model. The record is from RNAcentral.